GCAUCAAUGGGGUAGUGGUAACCUGGGUCGUUGCCAUGAGGAGAACCUCGACCCGCCGCGAGUUCGAUUCUCGCUUGAUGCA
This 82-nucleotide transfer RNA is filed under the name Pleurotus eryngii. RNAcentral's name for it is "tRNA-Gly". It matches the Rfam family "tRNA". Rfam says of the family: Transfer RNA (tRNA) molecules are approximately 80 nucleotides in length. Their secondary structure includes four short double-helical elements and three loops (D, anti-codon, and T loops). Lineage: Eukaryota; Fungi; Basidiomycota; Agaricomycetes; Agaricales; Pleurotaceae. The record is from RNAcentral.